RNAcentral lists this ribosomal RNA (447 nucleotides) under uncultured bacterium. RNAcentral describes it as "bacterial SSU rRNA". It matches the Rfam family "Bacterial small subunit ribosomal RNA", at positions 355 to 825 of the family's 1533-position model. The record is from RNAcentral.
UGGGGAAUAUUGGACAAUGGGCGAAAGCCUGAUCCAGCCAUGCCGCGUGAGUGACGAAGGCCUUAGGGCUGUAAAACUCUUUCGUCGGGGACGAUAAUGACGGUACCCGAAGAAGAAGCUCCGGCUAACUUCGUGCCAGCAGCCGCGGUAAUACGAAGGGAGCUAGCGUUGUUCGGAAUCACUGGGCGUAAAGCGCACGUAGGCGGAUAGUUAAGUCAGGGGUGAAAUCCUGGGGCUCAACCCCAGAACUGCCUUUGAUACUGGCUGUCUCGAGGUCGAGAGAGGUUGGUGGAAUUCCUAGUGUAGAGGUGAAAUUCGUAGAUAUUAGGAAGAACACCAGUGGCGAAGGCGGCCAACUGGCUCGAUACUGACGCUGAGGUGCGAAAGCGUGGGGAGCAAACAGGAUUAGAUACCCACGUAGUCCCUGAGCGGGCUGGCAAGGCGCAU